UGAAGGCUACGAAGACUGCCGAGAGAGAGGCAAAGAAAAAUUGUCUGCUGCUCAACUGGAUCCAACUUUGCUCAACUUUGCUUUCAUUCUGACUUAUAUAAGAAUUCGUCUGUUUAAACUUUUUAUGUUUUUGGGAUCAUUUUGAAAUUUUAUAUAUGGAGGUUGUCAAUGUUCCUAUAUUGGUGUAUUUAGUUCAUGAAUGAAUAGAUCGAAUGAAUG
RNAcentral lists this long non-coding RNA (219 nucleotides) under Panax ginseng (ginseng). RNAcentral's name for it is "long non-coding RNA (PGIN_LNC010871)". The record is from RNAcentral. Lineage: Eukaryota; Viridiplantae; Streptophyta; Magnoliopsida; Apiales; Araliaceae.